This 403-nucleotide ribosomal RNA is filed under the name Bacteroidota bacterium. RNAcentral describes it as "Bacteroidetes bacterium partial 16S ribosomal RNA". It matches the Rfam family "Bacterial small subunit ribosomal RNA", at positions 355 to 776 of the family's 1533-position model. Lineage: Bacteria; Pseudomonadati; Bacteroidota. The record is from RNAcentral.
UGGGGAAUAUUGCACAAUGGGGGAAACCCUGAUGCAGCGACGCCGCGUGAACGAUGAAGGUAUUCGUAUCGUAAAGUUCUGUCCUAUGGGAAGAUAAUGACAGUACCAUAGAAGAAAGCUCCGGCUAAAUACGUGCCAGCAGCCGCGGUAAUACGUAUGGAGCGAGCGUUGUUCGGAAUUAUUGGGCGUAAAGGGUACGCAGGCGGUUUAAUAAGUCGAAUGUUAAAGAUCGGGGCUCAACCCCGUAAAGCAUUGGAAACUGAUAAACUUGAGUAGUGGAGAGGAAAGUGGAAUUCCUAGUGUAGUGGUGAAAUACGUAGAUAUUAGGAGGAAUACCAGUAGCGAAGGCGACUUUCUGGACACAAACUGACGCUGAGGUACGAAAGCGUGGGGAGCAAACAGG